AGGGUUGGCAGCAAGCUCCUGCGCGCAGCGAUUGUAACCGGAGGAAGUGGAGAAGACAACCGGAUUUUCCAUUUUUCCUUUGGGCUAAUGUAACCGGAAAUUGGGCUUUUUUUUUAAAAAAAAAAUUAGGCCCAAAUGUGGAUAGUGGAUCCAUUCAAACGGUCCAUGGAUAUGGCUUUAAUUGGUAUUUCUCUCAAACCCAAAUCCCCCAAAAUCCAUUUGCAGAACGGCACAGAAGGCGAUAUCAAACCCUUGGUCGGUUGGUCCCUCACCCAGUUACCCUUCAAUUUCCAUUCGAAGUUGUAGCACUAGUUGCAGCUGGAGGUGGUGAUCGUGUGCCGCCGGUGUGCGAAGUCUUAGGGGUGAAUCUCUGACCGGCGACAGACUCUGAGGCGACUGGCAAAGGCCGAGCAGCCAGCAGUGUGCAUUGGUGAUUGGUGAGUUUAAUAAGUCCAAUACUUGAAGUUGAAGAGUUGAAUAUUGAAUUGUUUUAGUUGUCUCAUGUCUGAUUGUCUCACUUGUCUGUAAGACUGUAACUCUGCAAAUUGUUUUGACAAACUUGACGUAUUUUAUUUGUUGAUUUGUGCAAUUGUGCUGGUGCAAGUGCAACUGCAAUUUGUCUCGUGUAUUUUUUGAUUUGUGCAACUUCAAUUUAUGAUAAUUAAAUCAUGUUGAUGGUUCGUUCGUUC
RNAcentral lists this long non-coding RNA (689 nucleotides) under Olea europaea (common olive). Its description in RNAcentral is "long non-coding RNA (OEUR_LNC011582)". Lineage: Eukaryota; Viridiplantae; Streptophyta; Magnoliopsida; Lamiales; Oleaceae. The record is from RNAcentral.